This 148-nucleotide non-coding RNA is filed under the name Chlorocebus sabaeus (green monkey). The record is from Rfam by way of RNAcentral. Lineage: Eukaryota; Metazoa; Chordata; Mammalia; Primates; Cercopithecidae.
GCCGGGUGUAGUGGUGUGCACCUGUAAUCCCAGCUACUCGGGAGGCUGAGGCAGGAGGAUCGCUUGAACCUGGGAGGCAGAGGUUGCAGUGAGCCAGGAUGGUGCCACUGUGCUCCAGCCUGGGUGACAGAGCAAGACUCUGUCUCAA